UUUUUGUGAUGAAAACAGUCCAGUUUUGCUACUGAAGGGAGAGAUAAAAGCCUUUAGUGCUGAGGAAG
RNAcentral lists this small nucleolar RNA (68 nucleotides) under Vicugna pacos (alpaca). The record is from RNAcentral. Lineage: Eukaryota; Metazoa; Chordata; Mammalia; Artiodactyla; Camelidae.